Molecule: ribosomal RNA, 497 nt
Filed under: uncultured bacterium
Lineage: Bacteria
Description: partial 16S ribosomal RNA
Rfam family: Bacterial small subunit ribosomal RNA
Source: RNAcentral
GAUGAACGCUGGCGGCGUGCCUAAUACAUGCAAGUCGAGCGAACAGACGAGGAGCUUGCUCCUCUGACGUUAGCGGCGGACGGGUGAGUAACACGUGGAUAACCUACCUAUAAGUCUGGUAUAACUUCGGGAAACCGGAGCUAAUACCGUAUAACAUGUUGCACCGCAUGGUUGAACGGUGAAAGUCGGUUUUGCUGUCUCUUAUAGAUGGAUCCGCGUCUCAUUAGCUAGUUGGUAAGUUAACGGCUUAUCAAGGCAACUAUGCGUAGCCGACCUGAGAGGGGGAUCGGCCACACUGGAAGUGAGACGGGGACCAGAGUCCUGCGGGACGCAGCAGUAGGGAAUCUGCCGCAGAAGGCGAAAGCAUGACGGAGCAGCGCCACGUGAGUGAAGAAGGUCUUCGGAUCGUAAAACUCUGUUAUUAGGGAAAAACAAAUGUGUAAGUAGAUAAGCACGUAGUGACGGUACCUGAUAAGAAAGCAACGGCUAACUACGUG